RNAcentral lists this ribosomal RNA (1369 nucleotides) under uncultured bacterium. RNAcentral's name for it is "16S ribosomal RNA". It matches the Rfam family "Bacterial small subunit ribosomal RNA", at positions 29 to 1396 of the family's 1533-position model. The record is from RNAcentral.
AUGAACGCUAGCGACAGGCUUAACACAUGCAAGUCGAGGGGCAGCACAGGUAGCAAUACCGGGUGGCGACCGGCGCACGGGUGAGUAACGCGUAUGCAACUUGCCUAUCAGAGGGGGAUAACCCGGCGAAAGUCGGACUAAUACCGCAUGAAGCAGGGGCCCCGCAUGGGGAUAUUUGCUAAAGAUUCAUCGCUGAUAGAUAGGCAUGCGUUCCAUUAGGCAGUUGGCGGGGUAACGGCCCACCAAACCGACGAUGGAUAGGGGUUCUGAGAGGAAGGUCCCCCACAUUGGUACUGAGACACGGACCAAACUCCUACGGGAGGCAGCAGUGAGGAAUAUUGGUCAAUGGCCGAGAGGCUGAACCAGCCAAGUCGCGUGAGGGAUGAAGGUUCUAUGGAUCGUAAACCUCUUUUAUAAGGGAAUAAAGUGCGGGACGUGUCCCGUUUUGUAUGUACCUUAUGAAUAAGGAUCGGCUAACUCCGUGCCAGCAGCCGCGGUAAUACGGAGGAUCCGAGCGUUAUCCGGAUUUAUUGGGUUUAAAGGGUGCGUAGGCGGCCUUUUAAGUCAGCGGUGAAAGUCUGUGGCUCAACCAUAGAAUUGCCGUUGAAACUGGGGGGCUUGAGUAUGUUUGAGGCAGGCGGAAUGCGUGGUGUAGCGGUGAAAUGCAUAGAUAUCACGCAGAACCCCGAUUGCGAAGGCAGCCUGCCAAGCCAUGACUGACGCUGAUGCACGAAAGCGUGGGGAUCAAACAGGAUUAGAUACCCUGGUAGUCCACGCAGUAAACGAUGAUCACUAGCUGUUUGCGAUACACUGUAAGCGGCACAGCGAAAGCGUUAAGUGAUCCACCUGGGGAGUACGCCGGCAACGGUGAAACUCAAAGGAAUUGACGGGGGCCCGCACAAGCGGAGGAACAUGUGGUUUAAUUCGAUGAUACGCGAGGAACCUUACCCGGGUUUGAACGCAUUCGGACCGAGGUGGAAACACCUUUUCUAGCAAUAGCCGUUUGCGAGGUGCUGCAUGGUUGUCGUCAGCUCGUGCCGUGAGGUGUCGGCUUAAGUGCCAUAACGAGCGCAACCCUUGCCACUAGUUACUAACAGGUGAUGCUGAGGACUCUGGUGGGACUGCCAGCGUAAGCUGCGAGGAAGGCGGGGAUGACGUCAAAUCAGCACGGCCCUUACACCCGGGGCGACACACGUGUUACAAUGGCGUGGACAAAGGGAGGCCACCUGGCGACAGGGAGCGAAUCCCCAAACCACGUCUCAGUUCGGAUCGGAGUCUGCAACCCGACUCCGUGAAGCUGGAUUCGCUAGUAAUCGCGCAUCAGCCAUGGCGCGGUGAAUACGUUCCCGGGCCUUGUACACACCGCCCG